CCAUGUCUCUGACCCCAACCCGAGCCCCUUCCCCAGCACCCUGUCGUGCUCCCUGGAUGGUUUCUGGAAUGCUCCAAAGAGGAGUCAGGCUCACAGGGCGAGCCUGCUGCCGAGUAUCAGGAGCGGGUGGCACUGACCUUGAACUCUCGGGGGCGUCUUGGAAACACACACGUGACUCGGCAACAGCCCCCAAGGAGGGUGAUCUCUGCUUGCUCCUUGGGACAGACUAUCUGCAUCGCUGGUCAUUGCAACUGCAGAAGGGACGCAGGCUCUGGAUGAUGCUUUGUAGCCAGUGUGACAGGAAACGAACCGAACUCAGGCGAUAUAUAAAUGUAACAGGCGACCUCGCAGGUCCCGUGUGUCGCACCUGCAGGAAUGCUAGUGGGGUUCCACGGUAAGAGGGGGGACCCGGGUAGCGUGUGGUGGCCGGUGACAGGGCCAACGUGUCCCGGGCUGGAGGGGCUGGAGCAGCGCGAGGCCACCAGGGGGACCGGGAGGGACGGGGGCCAGGCCGGGGCUGAGACGGAAGCCCGCUCCUCCCCGUGGUCCCCAUGGAGCCCUGGCCCCCCGGAUCCAGCACCGGAUCCAGCAGGGCCGGCUCUAGGCGGCAGGCGGUCGGGGCCACCGGGAAGCAUGUCUGUGGGACUCGCCCUGGGCUGCAGGUGGCAAGGACUCGAGGGACCAGUGGGAUGUGAGGUCGCGCCGGGCCCUCGGGGAGCGUAGCCUCCUACUGGACAGGCUGGGAGACGGGCACUGCCCCUCGGGGGGUCGGGCACCCGCAGCUCCUGCAGGCCCGGCAGCUCCCAGCCCCUGCGGCCCCAGGUUCUCCUGUCAUCAGGUGGGCGGCCCGGCAGGCCCCGCGUGUGCCCCGAGCCCGGGCCGGGUGACCCGCCGGGCGCUGGCUGGACGUUCGUCUGCUCCGGGACCCGCUCUCCUCGUGCGCCUCUGGACGAUGCCCCUCCACCGUCUCCAUUAUCCCGUUCUGACAGCUCUCCUCUCUGGGCUAAGCUGACGCUUGACGCCUCUCCUGGUCUCAGUGGUCAUGAGUCCGGACUCCAGGAUCAAAAGAGAGAAAGAGGGAAAAAAGGGACAAAGGUGUCCGACCUGCCUACAUAGACCCUGGGCUUCGUACCCUCUUCCUGUCGGAGGACCGCAGCCAGCUGGACCCCUGUACUCCCCGGAGCUGGACGCCCACGGUCACCUUGACUCUCUGGGCCUCUCCUCCACGUUCUUGCUGUUUCUGCCUCCAGUGUUCUGGGUCCUGGAGUGUGACCCACCGUGUGACCUGGGAGCUGACAGCGGGUCUCCCCCACGCCCAGCGUGAUACACUUUAAGGACUGGAUCUGAGGCAGGCAGGAGCGAGCCUGACUGGCCACCAGGGUCUGUUCCUCAUGCCUCAUAGGACUGGGAGUGGCUCUUUGAACCCUCCCACCCCGCCCAGCAGUGAGGACGGGUCCUCUCAGGUCCCCCCACAGGGGAGGACACAGCCUCUGGGGGAGAGGUCACAGCCAGAGCCGGGAGGUGACCCUCGUGCUCUCCAUGCUCGGCCCAUGCGCCCCAACUCAGAGCCUGGCAAGCUGAGGAACGUCCGAAAUGGGGCACCAAGAUGUCUCUGUAAGCGUGGAGGUUUACGCGAUCCCACAAGCAAUAGCCGAAUCUCAGACACAAUGAUGAGAAGAAAAUAGGAGGGAGCUCCCUUCAGGGGAAGAGGAAGUCAUACAGGCUCCCAAGGAAACAAUUACUUUUCAGAGAGGAAGCCCACUUGUCCUGUGUUUUCAGACAACUCACCACACACUCUCAGUCACUCCCGUGUCAAAUGAUCAAUCAGCCCACCCUUCACAUGCUUUCCUAGAAGUUUCCUUACAUGAGGAUUGACGUGAUGCCAAGUGAGCCCCCAGUGCCCGCGCCCCGACUUAAGAAAUAGACACAAGACUGGCCGACUGGGCCCCGGGCCCCCGUUUCCUGCCCGCUGGGAGGUUCGGGAAAAUGGGUGUCCCCUGACCUCCAGCUCGGGGCUCAGGAGGGGCGAGGGAUUAAGGGAGGGUCGGGGCAGGGCCUGGGAGGGGGCCGGCCUCUGGUCUGCAGGUGGUGGCCGUCCUGUCCUGCCCUGGAAUCCAGGCGGGACCCACACCUGGAGGCCUGCCCCCCUCCGCCCGGAUGCCGGGCCUACACAGCCCCCCAGGUCUCAGUAUGUCAGAGGAGGAAGGCGAGCUCCUCAAAUCCCGAGAGGCGCCAUCAAUAUUCACAAGGGCCCGUGAGAUUCUGCGUGUGCACGAGCCCUGAUCCACUUGAUCCAGCCAGUCCCCUAGCGGAGCACACUUCGGGUCUUUCCAAAUGUUUGCUAUUCUCAAGAAAGCCCUGGCGCUGAGUUUUACAAACGCUCUGGCAUUCUGGACAGAUGGUCGUUGGAAAUCCCCAAAGCAUUGCAAGCUGAGGCUCUGGUUCGCCUCGACAGAUUUCCCUUGACACCCUGCUUGGAGCCCUCUCCCACUGAGGCCGUGAGAGGCGCCUGGUGACACCCCCGCCCCGGCUCUCCUGCAUUUGGGGCGUCCUGGCAGGGGAAGAACAGGACCACCCAGCGGCUUGGGAGGAGGUCAGCCCCAAGCCAUAUCCCGGCCACUAUUCUGGUACACAAUCCCUGAGUUGCUGAGCUCACGUCACUCUGGAUGAACGCCCCUCCUUCCACAGCUGGGCUCAGCAGAGUCACCCAGGUCGAGGCUCCCUUGUUGGCCACCUAGAGCUGCUCCCUCAAGGAGAAGGGGUUCAGGUUGGACCCAUGGGGUUGAUGUCCUGGGCUGAGGAGAAGCCCAGAGGGCGUGGGGACAGAGGAUCAGUGUCCUGGGAACGGGGCCUGGGGACAGUCAUCACGUAGAGGGCCUGAGGGAUGGAAGGGGCAGCCCCUGGGUCUCAAGGGGUGACCGUGUUCCCAACUGCAACAGAGAAAAGCAUGAGAUGUGACCACAUGGACCAGCCGAAUUCGGGGCAGGGCUGCCCAGCGGCCACCGGCGAAGGCAACAAAAGCUUCCCGGGCUGGUUCCACGUGGCUGGAGACACAAAGAUGAAAAAGCCCCUGCCUGGACCCCGAAAAGCCCUCUGGACCUUCCUUUUUUUCACCCACCACCGUCCCCCCGGGCCUCCAGGAACCUGAUGCCCCCAGAAGACUUUAUCUUCCAGGGAUAGGUGACGGGUGGCAACAAGCCUUCCCUAUGUUACCAUGUGGUGCAACAGGCCAGUGAUGCCUCCUUGUUUCACGAUGACUUCCCGCACAGCCAGGUCCCAGGCGGGGACAGGCCCAGACAGCCUGACAUGCAGGGACAAGAGUGAAGCCGUCGGUGGGCCUUUCUCAAUCAUACACCUGUCCUCCCAGCGCGUGGACUGUGAAGGUCCUGGCAGCAAGCAGGUGGCUGCGGACACCAAAGGUGGAAGCCGGGUCCUGAGGCAUCCCUUCAGCUGGGGUCCACAGGCAGAGCAGGGGUGGGUCCGUGGGACGAAGAUAUGGGGUCACCUGGGUCCUCUCCUGUCUCCUCUAGGCUGCCAUCUCCUCGAGGGCAGGACAGUACCUAGCACAUCCUUGCAUGCCAGGUUCCUGCCGGGGUGGGACCCCGAGUAGGUGCUCCUGGGUGCUGCUGGAUGGCCGAGGGACACAGGGAAGGACUGAACCAGCCUUGUCUUCCCUGUGGGUGGGAGUAUCACCAUGUGGAAAUGUGGCAUACCUUCUUGGAGAACAGUCUGGCAAAGCCAGAAGCACACAGGCACUGCCGGGGCCCUGGCAGGUUCCCGGAGCCCUGGCUCUGAAGGUGACUUGAGCACAGAGCUCCCUGCCUGAGCCCUUUGUAGCCAAGACCCCCUCCAGUCUUCCCAGCAGAUGGGCAGGAGCUGGGACUGGGCACAGGCGGAGGUUGCCAGGGGUCAGUGGUCCUAUAGGGGCGGCGGGGGUGUCCAGCUAGCUCCCAGAGGGAGGAUUCCAGCCUGUGCUGAGCGUGAGGUCAGGAUCCUGGGUAGGUGACCCUGGGGACAACUUCAGAGUCCCUGGAGGGCGAGGAGGCAGACAGGGGCACGUGUGGUAGGGCGGCUUCUCUGUCCUACAGGGAAGCUGACUGUCUCCUCUCCCACCACAGAGCUCCCAGGAUGUGGGAGGACGCAGGCACCCCAGGGAGGCCGGGAGCCCUGGUGCCACCUGUGCACAGGUGCUGGGAGAGCCCCGGGGUGAGGAUGCUCUUGGCCCCUCUGCUCCUCUCUUUCCCAUCCUACCUGUUACUGGGCCUUCCUCCCUUUGGGGCUGACCCUCCCUUGUGUAUAUUUUCCCUCAUCAGGCCUCUCCUGCCUUUUUCUGGCCCCUGUUCUCCCUUUGGCUUAGCUCUGCUGUUUCCAGUCCCUAGUCCCUGCCUUGUCUCCCUCCCUCCCUUGUGUGCCUUUCCCAGGCCAGGCUGGCGGUAGAGUGGGGAAUAGGGAGUGAGGAGGAGCCUCUGGUUGACCAGAGUUGGCCUUUGUACCUUGCCACAUGAUCCCCAGGUCUAUUUAAACCACAUUUCCUUCAUGUCCCUUAUGUUCCCUAUCACUGCUAUCUGCAAUUUCAUAGCAGAUAAUGUAUUAUUUCAUAAAAUUAUAGAGAAAAGACAGAGAUAGUGAUGUAAUGGUGCCUGCUCCUCUGCAGAGACCGCAUGGCCUUUCUAGGCAUUUCUGGGCAACCUGCUGUAGCCCCCACACAGACUCACCUGAGCCAGCUGGCCGCCCAAUCUCAACUUGGCUGUGGGGUGGUCCCCAGUGCAUGAUCAUCACUUGUCCCAUUAUGGACUGGGAUCAUGUCUGUAGCGUUCUGGCGCCCCAGCUACAGCAGUGGCCAUGCCCCUUCUCUCACAGAGAUAUUCUGGUAAGGAGUAUUGUGGCAAGGGAUGGGGCUCCACCUGAAUACCGCAACAUACAAAUCUUUCAUCUAAAUGAGGAGUAAAUGACAGAGAAGUAGAUAGUUGGAUAGAUAAGGAGAUACAUAGACGGUAGGAAACAGAUAAGGAAAGAGUACACCAAGGCUAAAGCCAAUGGGGAACAUGUUCACAAUAUGCAAAUUUGCAUGAGGAGCAUAUGGAUACUCUUUAUAUACAACUUUCUGUAAGUUCGGCAUAAAAUAAAACAUUUAAACAAAUAAAAAAAUUAAAUUAAAAUGUUCGCUCUCUGUAGGAGCUAAUAUGGAGCGUUUUCUGUUACAACUUAUGUCUGCUCUUCAAAUUGACCACAAGGAGUGACUGUUGUUCUCACAGUCGUGGAAGUCAGGAAGAAAGAAAAAUCUCAGGCAGCCCAGGUGGCUCAGCAGUUUAGUGCCUGCCUUCAGCCCAGCUGUGAUCCUGGAGUCCCGUGAUCGAGUCCCACAUUGGGCUCCCUGCAUGGAGCC
This is a long non-coding RNA of Canis lupus familiaris (dog), 5386 nucleotides long. RefSeq lists it as uncharacterized. Lineage: Eukaryota; Metazoa; Chordata; Mammalia; Carnivora; Canidae. The record is from RefSeq and is a predicted model, not a curated record. The transcript is spliced from 3 exons.